This 402-nucleotide ribosomal RNA is filed under the name uncultured bacterium. Its description in RNAcentral is "partial 16S ribosomal RNA". It matches the Rfam family "Archaeal small subunit ribosomal RNA", at positions 473 to 873 of the family's 1478-position model. The record is from RNAcentral.
ACACCGGCAGCUCAAGUGGUAGCCGCUUUUAUCGGGCCUAAAGCGUCUGUAGCCGGUCUGAUAAGUCUCUGGUGAAAUCCCACAGCUUAACUGUGGGAAUUGCUGGAGAUACUAUCAUGACUCGAGGUCGGGAGAGGCUGGAGGUACUCCCAGGGUAGGGGUGAAAUCCUGUAAUCCUGGGAGGACCACCUGUGGCGAAGGCGUCCAGCUGGAACGAACCUGACGGUGAGGGACGAAAGCCAGGGGCGCGAACCGGAUUAGAUACCCGGGUAGUCCUGGCCGUAAACGAUGUGGACUUGGUGUUGGGAUGGCUUCGAGCUGCCCCAGUGCCGAAGGGAAGCUGUUAAGUCCACCGCCUGGGAAGUACGGCCGCAAGGCUGAAACUUAAAUGAAUUGGCGGGG